AACACAACCGUUUAGAAAUGCAAA
This 24-nucleotide non-coding RNA is filed under the name Arabidopsis thaliana (thale cress). Lineage: Eukaryota; Viridiplantae; Streptophyta; Magnoliopsida; Brassicales; Brassicaceae. The record is from RNAcentral.